This 480-nucleotide long non-coding RNA is filed under the name Zonotrichia albicollis (white-throated sparrow). Its description in RNAcentral is "lncRNA (ENSZALG00000014138.1)". Lineage: Eukaryota; Metazoa; Chordata; Aves; Passeriformes; Passerellidae. The record is from RNAcentral.
GCAUAAAAACCUUUGCAUCCAACAUCCCUGCCUCCGUGGGCUUUGUCUGGCCUUUUUGAACUGAUGGCUUUUGAGCAAAUGGUCUUUCUACAGUGUUUGUCUCCACCACCUGGCCAUAAUGACAUCUGGAAUAAUGCAGCCUCAUGCAGAUCUUGUCUCCAGAGGUCUUGUUUGCCUCUGGUGUAUGUGUACCUCAUUGAGUGGAAGAGAUGUGAUCCUUUCUUCAGUUUCAGCUGGACAUCUCUGCUGAAGGUGGAUUUCUGCAGCUUGAAAAGGAGGAACCAGACAUCUGUCUUGUAAACUAUAAUCCAGGCUGGUGAUUAAGGCUUACAUUUAGGACAUGGGAAGAUGAUUUCCUAAAUAUAAUCUUAUUAUGAAUUGAGCCCCGUUUUCCCUUCUCCAGAGGGAGCCAGAAUAGAAGCAGAAAUACCAGAUCCAUUGGGUCCAGAGGAAAUAUGUGGAAGGGAUGAUGAAAUUAUG